This is a long non-coding RNA of Cynoglossus semilaevis (tongue sole), 2508 nucleotides long. RefSeq lists it as uncharacterized. NCBI's taxonomy places the organism in Eukaryota, Metazoa, Chordata, Actinopteri, Pleuronectiformes, Cynoglossidae. The transcript is spliced from 5 exons. The record is from RefSeq and is a predicted model, not a curated record.
GAGAGAGAGAGAGAGAGAGAGAAUCGGCAGAGGGAAAAAAGUUCUUCACUGAGAGAGAGGAAAGAGCAGAGUGUGGUUCACACUGAGGCAGAGGAACCCUGCUCUCUCUUUUUUUCUUUUUUUUUUAACACAACAUAAGUGAGAGGGUAAAAAGGGAGAGAAGGGGGCUUUGGAGAGAAAAGUGGGAGGAAAGAGAGAAAGAGAGAGAGACAGAAAGGGUAGGACAGAUAAGGGGAGAAACGGCGGCAGAAGAAAACAGAGGAGGAAGAAGAGGAGGAAGAGGAAAAGCCAAAGCAUGUUGACCGUGGAAGGGAAGGAAGUUUGUCCAUGAGGCCAUGUGCUCAGCUUGAAGUCUUGCGGCGCAGCACGAUGGAGGAAAAGAUGGUACAGACCGAAGGGGGCGCUACUGCUGUGAUGGAAAGACGUAAGAAGAAAAAGAAGAAACCUCUGGUGAGAAAGAAUCAAAAGCAGGAGGAGGAGAGACCAUGAGGGAGGAGGAGGAGGAGGAGGAAGGAGGAGGAAGGAGGGGGUUCCCCUCAUUCCGAAAGUCAGCAACCGGCGAGGAAUCGCAACUCUCACCCCAGAAGGGUUUGGGAGUUCCCUAGAAGACAAGGUUAUAGGAAACAAACGUCCCACCUACCCUGACUCCAGCACAGGUGGACUUGGAUCUGCCUCAUCUGUUGGGUGCAACCGACCUGAGAUUUUUACUGUCUGGCUUUUCUUUGUCAGCUGUCGUUUGCUCAGUAGGCAGUGUAGAUCCUGUUAAAAGAUCAGCAGCUACAUCUGGCUACUGGGUCUCCGACGGCUAGUCGAGUCGAAUCUUUAUGGUCCAGUUACUGACCCACAUCUGCCCUCGCUGGACGGUGAUGUCACGAAGGCUCGGCUCUGGGGUCUUGUGACCCCUCUCUACUCAGCCCAGACAGGAAGUUGUGUGUCACAACAAGGAGCCCUUGUCAAUGACUUCCCCUGCCCUUUUUUUUUUCUGUAGUCAUUCUUUUAGUUUACCCUCAGUGAGAUGGUCUUUUGUCCUCGCGUCGAGACAUCGGCGAUGAACCGUCGGACGUGUGAACGAACCACUGCUGAGUCCUGAACCUGGCAUACAAUGUAGAUUUCUGUGUGCUUACAUUCUACAGCUACAUUGUCUGCUGGGUUUCUGGUCUGCGGUAAAAGCAGCUGCUGUUAGAUUGGAAAAAAAAACAAAAAAACAAAAAAAAAACAACGUCUGCAGAGUUCCUACAGAGGUAAGUCAGGUAGAAAGUGUGAUUCUACGAGCCACUGAUGCCCAGUUUUGAACCAUAGGUUUGGUCGCAGUCAAAACAUGGCUGCCGCUGAAAUCAACCAAAAAUAGCUCAGGGUUUUAUCCCGUCGUUGGACAGCUGUUUCCCGAACAGGAAAGUAAAGUUUACGAACCGCUCAUCCACCGUUGACAAAAUAUAUAUAUCGAGGAAAAUCGGCGACGUUAGCCGACAGUGACGAAACAUUUGUCGGUUUGUCGUUGCCUCCGGUGGUCACUUUGUGUAACUGAAAUAAAUCGGAACAAAAAAGUCGCACAGGACAGAUUUAAAGUAGUUGAUGGAGGAGGCAGCGGAAUUUGAUUUCUUCCGUGGACAUUGCGAUUAGAAAAUAAGUAAGUAAUGCGUCAGUGUCUCAUACGACUACACUUUGAAAAAUGUCCCUAAAAUUGUUUCUUUUUGUAUUUUAACACAGCUACGCAAUAAAUUCUCUGCACCCCACACGAUUUUUUUUGCUGUCAUUCUUUUCUCUCACGGGAAGACGUUCGAGGCGAAUCUGUGAAAUGCACGGAAUCUUAAUGGAUUCAGCUCUCGUGCUGAAACUGCUGAUGCUAACACUAACGCUGCGAUCGCUGCCGUUGACCCUCGAGCGAGAGAAUGUUCUCGCGGCUCGCCAUAAAAAAAAAAAAUAAAAUAAAAUUUAGAGGGGGGAAAAAAAAAGUCACCGUUGUCUGUCAGGAGGUUGUCAGGUCGUUGUAAAAGUGACUGCUUAUUCGUGAGGCAAGCGCACAAAUACACAAAGAGAAGGCGAGAGAGAGAGAGAGAGAGAGUCAGAACUAGGGUUUUAUGUCAUUUUUAGACAUUUGCUUAAAAAAAAAAAAAACACCUUCGAACCGACAUCAGCUCUGUUUUUUCCAAGACGAACACUUUCAGGGAAUCGAACGGAAACUGUUAAAAAACAAAUAGUAAUGACUUAACUAAGAAAGGUUUGAACGUCAACAGUGUGAGUCAAAAGGGGACAGGGGACGGGGACGGGGACGGAGAGUUAGCUUAAGGUGAAGUGGAGCAGCAGAAACAGGAGUAAGGACAGGAAAAGAAGAAGAAUAAAAAAAAAAAACUCUGUUAUUAGUGUACGUUCGGCAGCUCUGCUGUCACGGCUGUCACUGCUGCUGCUGCUGCGCACAGCCUCCAAAAAGGCACAAACACACACAAACACACACACACACAGAACACUGUCAUAGCAUCCCAACCCUUCGAUAUCCUGCUUCACAACAAC